GUCAUUGGAAACUGGGGAACUUGAGUGCAGAAGAGGAGAGUGGAAUUCCACGUGUAGCGGUGAAAUGCGUAGAGAUGUGGAGGAACACCAGUGGCGAAGGCGACUCUCUGGUCUGUAACUGACGCUGAGGAGCGAAAGCGUGGGGAGCGAACAGGAUUAGAUACCCUGGUAGUCCACGCCGUAAACGAUGAGUGCUAAGUGUUAGGGGGUUUCCGCCCCUUAGUGCUGCAGCUAACGCAUUAAGCACUCCGCCUGGGGAGUACGGUCGCAAGACUGAAACUCAAAGGAAUUGACGGGGGCCCGCACAAGCGGUGGAGCAUGUGGUUUAAUUCGAAGCAACGCGAAGAACCUUACCAGGUCUUGACAUCCUCUGACAAUCCUAGAGAUAGGACGUCCCCUUCGGGGGCAGAGUGACAGGUGGUGCAUGGUUGUCGUCAGCUCGUGUCGUGAGAUGUUGGGUUAAGUCCCGCAACGAGCGCAACCCUUGAUCUUAGUUGCCAGCAUUCAGUUGGGCACUCUAAGGUGACUGCCGGUGACAAACCGGAGGAAGGUGGGGAUGACGUCAAAUCAUCAUGCCCCUUAUGACCUGGGCUACACACGUGCUACAAUGGACAGAACAAAGGGCAGCGAAACCGCGAGGUUAAGCCAAUCCCACAAAUCUGUUCUCAGUUCGGAUCGCAGUCUGCAACUCGACUGCGUGAAGCUGGAAUCGCUAGUAAUUGCGGAAC
RNAcentral lists this ribosomal RNA (728 nucleotides) under Bacillus subtilis. RNAcentral's name for it is "bacterial SSU rRNA". It matches the Rfam family "Bacterial small subunit ribosomal RNA", at positions 622 to 1350 of the family's 1533-position model. The record is from RNAcentral. Lineage: Bacteria; Bacillati; Bacillota; Bacilli; Caryophanales; Bacillaceae.